This 2345-nucleotide long non-coding RNA is filed under the name Equus caballus (horse). Its description in RNAcentral is "lncRNA (ENSECAG00000044068.1)". The record is from RNAcentral. Lineage: Eukaryota; Metazoa; Chordata; Mammalia; Perissodactyla; Equidae.
UGGCCAUGUGAGUAAGUUCUCAUAAGUGAAAAUUUUAUAUGCUUUCGACUGGCUCCUCAGUAUUCUAUUGUUCUUUCUGUCUACUGGAACUCAGAUUAACUAAACCUCAAUCUUGCGGAUGAUAAGAACGUUUUAGGAAACUGUGGAGUCAUAGAAUGAAAGAAGCCUGGGUCACUGGAGCAGAGCUGACUCACCAAGCUAGAGCACUGACCUCGGAACCGUUAACAUGAGAAAAAAAAUGUCUUUGUUCUUUCAGCCACUGGAUUGUUGGGUCUCUUUGUUACAGAAGUCGGCAUCUUAUCCUAAGUAAAAAAAGGUGAAAAGAAUUGAAAAGUUGUGAAAGCCAGAAACUGGGAGGUGUUGAUUCCUAAUAAACAUCUUGCUCUUCAAUGUCCAUCUUCACAUCUGCUUCAGGAGACCCCAACCUGCAAUAAGACCUUAUCUCUGACACCUGGUGCUCUCCUGGUUUCUAUGCUAAGAACUGAAACCAAUAUUCUUGAUUAUGAGGAUCUGUUUGCUAACCGGGCUAAAGGGAAGUGAGUCAUGAGCACUGUGGUAAAAAGAAGUCCACAAACUCAGAAUGUAAAACUCAUGAUGGAAGCCACCACACAGAUCAUAAUACUCCAGCUCUUUCAUAAUACUAUUUGGAGUCUUCUCUCUUCUUGAUCAGUGUUUCCAGAGAUUUGCCUAUUUUAGUUAGCUUUUCUGAGAACUAACUUAAAGUUUUAUUGAUAGCUAUCAUAUCUUUGUUUUCCGUUGUAUUGAUUUCUGCUCUAACUUUUCUCUUUUAUUCUACUCUUUGGGUUUAUUCUGUUGUUCAUUGUUUAACUUCUAAAGAUGGAUACUUGGCUCAUUAAUUUUGCUGUUAACUCUUCUCUAGUAGAAGUAUUUAAAGCUAUGAAUGUCUCUCAAAGCAUCAUUUUUAUGUAGUGUUUUCAUUCCCCAUUCUGUAGGUGUGGGCUGUCCAUAGUGACUUCCAUUGACAGAGUACACUAUAGAAAGGGGGAAAAAGUACAACUUCACAGUGGAGAAACCUGACAAACACUACUUCAGCCAGGUGAACAAGGUCAACAUCAACAGUGUAAAUCAUAUUGAUGGUAGUUACCGUUGAGAUGAUGUGAUGGCAAUGGCACUUUACCUCUGCGGUCUCCCUCCCAAAAAACCACAACCCGAGUCUAAUCAUGAGAAGAACAUCAGACAAAUUCCGAUAGUGGGACAUCCUACAAAAUAUCUGGCCUGUACUCCUUAAAGUUGUCAAAGUCAGCAAAAUCAAAGGAAGUCUGAGAAACUGCUGCAGCCAAGAGGAGCUUAAGGAGACCUGACCGCUAAAUGUAAUGUGGUAUCCUGGAUGAGAUCCUGGAACAGAAAAAGGACAUUAGGGAAAAACUGAGACAAUCUGAAUAAAGCAUGAAGUUUAGAUAAUAAUAAUGUAUUAAGUGGUUUAUUAAUUGAGGAAAAUGUACCAUACUCAUGUAAGAAGUUACUAAUAAGGGAAAAUGGCUGUAGGGUAUAUGGGAAUUCUCUGUACUAUCUUCUUGUUAUCUCUGGAAAUCUAAAACUGUUUGUAUUCGUCAGGGUUCUCCAGAGAAUCAGAACCAAUAGGAGAUAUAUAGAUAUACAGAUAUAUAGAGAGAGAUUUAUUAUGGGAAUUGGCUCACACAGUUAUAGAGCCUGAGAAGUCCCAUGAUCUGCUGUAUGCAAGCUGGAGACCCAGGAAAGCUAUGGUGCUGGGGGCAAGAGGGUGCUGGUGUAAGUCCCUGAGUCCAAAGGCCCAAGAAUCAGGAGCUCUGAUGUCCAACAGCAGGAGAAGACGGAUGCCUCAGCUCAAGAAAAGAGGAGAAUUUGCCCUCCCUCUCUGCCUUUUUGUUCUAUUAUGGCCCUCAACCGGGUGGAUGAUGCCCACCCAUGUUCCUGAGGGCAAAUCUUCUUCACUCAGUCUACUGAUUCAAAUACUACUCUCUUCUGGAAACAUCCUCACAGAUACACCCAGAAAUAAUGUUUUACCAGCUAUGUGGGUAUGUCUUAGCUCAGCUAACUUGACACAUAGAAUGAAUCAUUACACUGUUGUUAAAAAAUAAUAUUAUUAAUAAAUAUCUGUGUAUAUUUUAUUGUCGGUUCUAAAUAUUUUUAAAUUUUCAUUAUUAUUCUCUCUUUAACUCAUGUGUUAUUCAAGUCUUAUUUUUUAUUUCCAAAUAUUUGAGAAUUUUUUUAUUCAUCUUUUUUAAAAUUAAUUUCUGCCUUAUUUGCAUUUUUGUCAAAGAUCGUAGUCAUAUAAUAUCUCUACAUCCAAAUUGUUGAGGCUUUCUUAUGGCUGAGUAUAUGAUCAAUUUUUAUGUUUUCUGGGG